AUGUUCUCUGUAGCUUUGCUGCUGCUGCUGGCUGCUGGAUCCUGUGUGAAAUGUGAAACGUUGACACAGCCAGCGUCUCUGACUGUCCGGCCAGGUCAAACUCUGACCAUCACCUGUCAGGUCUCUUAUUCUGUUAGCAGCUAUUGGACUGCUUGGAUCAGACAGCCUGCAGGGAAAGGACUGGAGUGGAUUGGAGUGAAAUCAACUAGCUAUGAAUCCUACAAAGAUUCACUGAGAAACAAGUUCAGUAUUUCUGUUGCCUCUUCCAGCAACACAGUGACUCUAACUGGACAGAAUGUGCAGCCUGAAGACACUGCUGUGUAUUAUUGUGCCAGUGAUCGUGACUACGCUGCUUUUGACUACUGGGGAAAGGGAACAAUGGUCACCGUCUCCUCAGACACUCCAAAGGCCCCUACUGUGUUUCCUCUGGUAGAAUGUGGUUCUGAGACCGAUAACACGCUGACUGUUGGCGUCCUCACCACCGGCUUCACGCCCGCCUCCCUGACCUUCAGCUGUGCCACUGCCAGCGGGACGAACCUGCCCGACUCUCUUCAGUACCCUGCAGUUCAGAAGGACUGCUACUAUUCAGCGGUCAGCCAGAUCUGAGUGAAGAGAUCAGAC
This is a non-coding RNA of Myripristis murdjan (pinecone soldierfish), 621 nucleotides long. The record is from the annotation of a RefSeq genome assembly. NCBI's taxonomy places the organism in Eukaryota, Metazoa, Chordata, Actinopteri, Holocentriformes, Holocentridae.